GAUGAAGAACGCAGCGAAAUGCGAUAAGUAAUGUGAAUUGCAGAAUUCAGUGAAUCAUCGAAUCUUUGAACGCACAUUGCGCCCGCCAGUAUUCUGGCGGGCAUGCCUGUUCGAGCGUCAUUUCAACCAUCAAGCCCCCGGGCUUGUGUUGGGGACCUGCGGCUGCCGCAGGCCCUGAAAAGCAGUGGCGGGCUCGCUGUCACACCGAGCGUAGUAGAUUUUAUCUCGCUCAGGGCGUGCUGCGGGUUCCGGCCGUUAAACCACCUUCAUAACCCAAGGUUGACCUCGGAUCAGGUAGGAAGACCCGCUGAACUUAAGCAUAUCAAGCGGAGGA
RNAcentral lists this unclassified non-coding RNA (334 nucleotides) under soil metagenome. RNAcentral describes it as "partial contains 5.8S ribosomal RNA, internal transcribed spacer 2, and large subunit ribosomal RNA". The stretch from base 1 to 120 matches the Rfam family "5.8S ribosomal RNA", at positions 35 to 154 of the family's 154-position model. The record is from RNAcentral.